AAGUCGUAACAAGGUCUCCGUAGGUGAACCUGCGGAGGGAUCAUUACAGAGUUCUUGCCCUUACGGGUAGAUCUCCCACCCUAUGUUAUUAUUACCUUUGUUGCUUUGGCGGGCCGUUCGGCUCUGUCGACCACCGGCUUCGGCUGGUGUGCGCCCGUCAGAGGACCCCCAACUCUGAAUAUUAGUGUCGUCUGAGUACUAUAUAAUAGUUAAAACUUUCAACAACGGAUCUCUUGGUUCUGGCAUCGAUGAAGAACGCAGCGAAAUGCGAUAAGUAAUGCGAAUUGCAGAAUUCAGUGAGUCAUCGAAUCUUUGAACGCACAUUGCGCCCCGUGGUAUUCCGCGGGGCAUGCCUGUUCGAGCGUCAUUUCAACCCUCAAGCUCUGCUUGGUAUUGGGCCGUACCGGUAACGGUAGGUCCUAAAAUUAGUGNCAGUGCCGUCUGGUGCUAAGCGUAGUAAUUCUUCUCGCUAUAGUUUCCCGGUGGUAUCCAGCCAGGAACCCCCAAUUUUCUAUGGUUGACCUCGGAUCAGGUAGGGAUACCCGCUGAACUUAAGCAUAUCAAUAAGCGGAGGAAAAGAAACCAACAGGGAUUGCCUCAGUGACGGCGAGUGAAGCGGCAACAGCUCAAAUUUGAAAUCUGGCUCUUUCAGGGUCCGAGUUGUAAUUUGUAGAAGAUGCUUCGGGUGUGGCUCCGGUCUAAGUUCCUUGGAACAGGACGUCAUAGAGGGUGAGAAUCCCGUACGUGACCGGUGGCCUUCGCCCAUGUGAAGCUCUUUCGACGAGUCGAGUUGUUUGGGAAUGCAGCUCAAAAUGGGUGGUAUAUUUCAUCUAAAGCUAAAUAUUGGCCAGAGACCGAUAGCGCACAAGUAGAGUGAUCGAAAGAUGAAAAGCACUUUGGAAAGAGAGUUAAACAGUACGUGAAAUUGUUGAAAGGGAAGCGCUUGCAAUCAGACUUGCACGCCGUCGAUCAUCCGAGGUUUUCCCCGGUGCACUCGGCGGUGUUCAGGCCAGCAUCGGUCUGGGUGGUUGGAUAAAGGCCCCAGGAAUGUGGCUCCCCUCGGGGAGUGUUAUAGCCUGGGGUGCAAUGCAGCCUAUCCGGACCGAGGACCGCGCUUCGGCUAGGAUGCUGGCGUAAUGGUUGUAAGCGACG
RNAcentral lists this ribosomal RNA (1152 nucleotides) under uncultured fungus. Its description in RNAcentral is "eukaryotic LSU rRNA". The stretch from base 519 to 1152 matches the Rfam family "Eukaryotic large subunit ribosomal RNA", at positions 1 to 649 of the family's 3401-position model. The record is from RNAcentral. Lineage: Eukaryota; Fungi.